CUACGUGCCAGCAGCCGCGGUAAUACGUAGGUGGCAAGCGUUGUCCGGAUUUAUUGGGCGUAAAGCGAGCGCAGGCGGUUCCUUAAGUCUGAUGUGAAAGCCCCCGGCUCAACCGGGGAGGGUCAUUGGAAACUGGGGAACUUGAGUGCAGAAGAGGAGAGUGGAAUUCCAUGUGUAGCGGUGAAAUGCGUAGAUAUAUGGAGGAACACCAGUGGCGAAGGCGACUCUCUGGUCUGUAACUGACGCUGAGGCUCGAAAGCGUGGGUAGCAAACAGGAUUAGAUACCCUGGUAGUCCACGCCGUAAACGAUGAGUGCUAAGUGUUAGACCCUUUCCGGGGUUUAGUGCCGCAGCUAACGCAUUAAGCACUCCGCCUGGGGAGUACGACCGCAAGGUUGAAACUCAAAGGAAUUGACGGGGGCCCGCACAAGCGGUGGAGCAUGUGGUUUAAUUCGAAGCAACGCGAAGAACCUUACCAGGUCUUGACAUCCCUCUGACCUCUCUAGAGAUAGAGAUUUC
RNAcentral lists this ribosomal RNA (518 nucleotides) under uncultured bacterium. RNAcentral's name for it is "bacterial SSU rRNA". It matches the Rfam family "Bacterial small subunit ribosomal RNA", at positions 501 to 1016 of the family's 1533-position model. The record is from RNAcentral.